This 442-nucleotide ribosomal RNA is filed under the name uncultured bacterium. RNAcentral describes it as "partial 16S ribosomal RNA". It matches the Rfam family "Bacterial small subunit ribosomal RNA", at positions 338 to 795 of the family's 1533-position model. The record is from RNAcentral.
CCUACGGGAGGCAGCAGUGGGGAAUAUUGGGCAAUGGGCGCAAGCCUGACCCAGCAACGCCGCGUGAAGGAAGAAGGCUUUCGGGUUGUAAACUUCUUUUGUCAGGGAAGAGUAGAAGACGGUACCUGACGAAUAAGCCACGGCUAACUACGUGCCAGCAGCCGCGGUAAUACGUAGGUGGCAAGCGUUGUCCGGAUUUACUGGGUGUAAAGGGCGUGUAGCCGGGUUGACAUGUCAGAUGUGAAAUCCUGCGGCUUAACCGCAGAACUGCAUUUGAAACUGUUGAUCUUGAGUACUGGAGAGGCAGACGGAAUUCCUAGUGUAGCGGUGAAAUGCGUAGAUAAUAGGAGGAACACCAGUGGCGAAGGCGGUCUGCUGGACAGCAACUGACGGUGAGGCGCGAAAGCGUGGGGAGCAAACAGGAUUAGAUACCCCAGUAGUC